CCGAGCCGCCGCCGCCGCCCGCCGCGGGCAGCAGCGCCGUGAGGGGCUGCCCCGUUCCCGGGCCCUGCCGUUACCUGGGAGAGCCGGGGGUAGAUGCCGAUGCUGUCUGGACAUGCCUUGUGGAAAUGAGCUUCUCUAUGGGAUGGAGGACCACAUGCUGCCUUUGGAGAAAAGCAAGGCCAGGAUUACUGCUCCCAGAAGAACUGAAAUAGCUAUUUACCCACAGCAAGAAAAUGUUAUUUUUGGGGCAAAAGGGAGCUGUAAUGUUUUCCUGUUACAGUAGUUGGCAGCAUUUCUCUAUAGCCCAAACAGUUCUUUCUUUACUCUUUGCUGUAAGUUUACUAGAGGGAGAGACAUAUAUGAGCAAUUCUGUAACUCAAACACAAUAUACUGACAGUAAGACAGGUUUAAACCCUGGGAGACUAUCAGGAUGGAGUGAAGGAAGAGUGGGACCCUGAACCAAGUGCCUGAGCUGAGAGGAUACUGGUGGCUACAGAAAUGUUGCAUGUACAGUGAUUUUCAAAGCACAGACUAUUUGGAAUAAAGUAAGGACAUCUCUUGCA
Long non-coding RNA from Serinus canaria (Common canary), 563 nucleotides. RefSeq lists it as uncharacterized. NCBI's taxonomy places the organism in Eukaryota, Metazoa, Chordata, Aves, Passeriformes, Fringillidae. The record is from RefSeq and is a predicted model, not a curated record. The transcript has 2 exons.